CCUCUCGCGAGGCUUGGCGGGAGAAGCGGGCGCGCGCAGCCCGCUUCCUCCUUUCUCCGUGCUCGCUCCCGGUCGACAUGGCGGCCGGGCCGCAGGUGAGCAUGGGAUGGUGUCAAGUAAGGGUGAAAACACUCACCUGCCUGGGAAGCUGAUUCCUUCACUGGACUGACAGUAAACCUGCACCAGCUGCACAAUGGAGGAAAUUGUCCUGCAGAAUCCUGGGGUUGUACUGUUGCCCAGACAGCUUUGGCAAGAGGACAGCUGCUAAGUUGGGCUUCAAGCUGGACUUGUGACGCCACAGGGGACCCAUGCUGGAGCAGUCUGUGCCUGAAGGACUGCAGCCCGUGGAAGGGACCCAUGCUGGAGCAGUUUGUGAAGAACUGCAGCCCGGGGGAAGGACUCACGAUGGAGAAGUUCGUGAAGGACUGUGGAGGGACCCCACACUGGAGCAGGGGAAGAGUGUGAGGAGUCCUCCCCCCUGAGGAGGAUGGAGCGGCAGAGACAAUGUGCGAUGAACUGACUGCAACCCCCAUUCCCUGUCCCCCUGUGCUCCUGGAGGGGAAGUAGAGCAAAUCGGGAGUGGAAAGAAGGCUGAACCGGCAAACUUGACAACAACAGACUUCUUGAGAAGUCAAGAAGCUAUGGAAGGAAGAUUGUUCUGGAGCGGGUCUCACAAAUGAUACCAUCAUUUGAAACAGUGUAAAAUGACCACUUGGGCGUAACCGCAGGCUUCUCGCUGCUCAGUUUGCUGCAACCACAUCACAGGACCUGAUCUACAGCUGGCUGGAGGAAAAAGUGGUUCCCUGCUGUCUUCUGUUCCAGAAUAAAAUAAGUUAUGGAAAAUCUUGGGAGUUGAAGUUGGGUUUUGUUUGGGGUUUUUGUAAAG
Long non-coding RNA from Harpia harpyja (harpy eagle), 886 nucleotides. RefSeq lists it as uncharacterized. The record is from RefSeq and is a predicted model, not a curated record. The transcript has 7 exons. Lineage: Eukaryota; Metazoa; Chordata; Aves; Accipitriformes; Accipitridae.